RNAcentral lists this ribosomal RNA (160 nucleotides) under Staphylococcus epidermidis. RNAcentral describes it as "partial 23S ribosomal RNA". It matches the Rfam family "Bacterial large subunit ribosomal RNA", at positions 2771 to 2925 of the family's 2925-position model. Lineage: Bacteria; Bacillati; Bacillota; Bacilli; Caryophanales; Staphylococcaceae. The record is from RNAcentral.
CUGAAAGCAUCUAAGCAUGAAGCCCCCCUCAAGAUGAGAUUUCCCAACUUCGGUUAUAAGAUCCCUCGAAGAUGACGAGGUUAAUAGGUUCGAGGUGGAAGCGUGGUGACACGUGGAGCUGACGAAUACUAAUCGAUCGAAGACUUAAUCAAUUUUUAAA